AAGGGCUCGAAACACACUAAGAAUACCACCCCGACCGCCAGCCCCGUUCGGGCUGGAGGUGCCUCCUCCCGUCACCGCACCUAGGCAGUGCAUGCCUGCAAUGAAAAGAUGGCAAAUUCUUAUCGGCGGAAAAUCGAGUCCAAGUUGCUCGAAGAAACCAACCGGGAAGGAAAACCGAUUAAUAGUUUUGCUUUUAUUAUAAGCGAGUAGCUGAAGAGCGUUUUGUACCGUCCAGAUGUACACCGACACUAUCUCUAGCCAAAAUUCGAAAAAAGGAAAAUACGGUAAAUUUAAAUGGUCCAUGAGCGUGCCAGAUGACAGUGCCAAAGUAGCACUCCUACGAAAUGGGGCAUAAGCGAAGAAACUCUUUACCAAGUCCCCGAGUGUCCGUCGACUGUCGGAACUUAUCACCGAGCAAUAUCGGGAUCAUCACUUCGCGAUCGCGAAGUAUACGCGUGGGCCAACGUGCUCGAGACGGCUCGUAGGAGCCUCCUGGAUUUUUGUCGUCCCUUUAAAUUUGUUGUUGUGUCACGUCCGCAGGACUGGUUAUAGCCACCGCGCGUAGUGCACGUGAUGAAAGAAAACAAGGUGCAGUUCGCGGCCUGCUGCGGCGGGUUACAGGUUUCCCGAACGGUCCUACGCUAUCUUUCCCGAUUAAGCUUCGUGGCUCGCGGUUGCCUCGCCACAGAUGCGGAGAACAUCUCGGCUUCGAAUGAAGGUUUCUGCUUGUGAAGGCAGGGACAAACCGAGACCGGGGAGGGUAACGAGGUCAACGGGUGGGAAGCAGUGGGUGCAGAUCUAGGUUACCUGUAUAUUAUGCAACCAACACUACUGUAAUUUCAUGAUUGCGCGUGGUAACACAUGCCUACGUGCGCAGAGUGCGCAGCACGAAGUUGACGACGACGACGACGACAACGACGACUAGGAAAAUAAUUGUAAUGUAUUUCGAUGAUGCGACCGUUACAUAUUCCGUCGGCAACGGAAAUCCUCACGCGAAUCGAUCCUAUUACGAAAACUCCCGCGACGAUCCCUUAGCGGUUUCCAUCGGAGCGAGGAAAUCUACUCCGGAAUAUGACGAAGGAGAACGUAUAAUGAUCCAUAGUUGAAUUAUCUAAUCAGCGGUACGUUCUAGAAUUCAUCGAGUAUAUAUUCUCACAGCAGCUUCUACAGUCGAUUCGAUUGCUCCUUAGCAACAACGCCGACGAAGGCGAUCAUCAGCCGUAUCUCUUCAAUCUUUAACACGCUGCACAUAUCUUUACACAGUUAGGCUUCAUAUCUGAAACCUAUUAGCGUAUGCGUUCUCCUUCGUCGGGAUCUCGCUUGCCAGACGAAGAGGAGGCCUCCACACACUUUCGGCUCGGUAAUUAAAUUAUUUAUUCGACGGUCACAGGUGCCCCUGAUAUAUUUUCAUCGACGAAAACUCGGCGUUGCCAGGGGGUUUCGUACAGUGAAAGCAAUAACGCCGCGAAAGGAGGCCAGUGUUUUCGGAGUAUCUUAUACGUGUAUAUUUCUGUUCGCUACAAGCGCGUCUCCUGAUAUCGCGGAGGACUUACGUAAUGUGUAAAAGACAGGGGACAAGAGAGAGAUAGAGAGAGAGAGAGAGAGACCGAGCGCGUUUCCUAGCGCGUGCAGCCUUGCAGAGGGACAACGACAACGACGACGAUGACGGCGGUGCAACGCGCUGCACCUUCGGCCGCGGAUCGCCUAUAAGCGAACCUCGUAUUUAUAGGCACUCGCCACCAAGGCCGAUUCGCAAUUUUAACUCACGUGGACACGCGCGAGACCUCGGAUUUCUCGCGUGACGCGUCGUAUUUUUUUUUUUCCCUCCACGCCCUGAGAACGCUGAGCCAUUACUCGUAUCGACGCUUCGAAAGGACCUCCUAUUAAGCGUUUGCACAUUCGGCGCCAGGCGAUGGUGCCGUCGAGGUGAGGGAAAAGAGAGAGAAAAAAAAAACGUUAAUUGUACAAAGAGACGCGUCGAUUGUCAAUUAGGAGUCACAAACGGAAUCAAUAAGGCGCGCCGAGGCGUCGGAGCCUCCGCAUAUUCGUACAGCCACACAGCCAUUGUAAAGCCAUAAAAAUGCUGGUGUUACAUUAUUCAUGCAUACACGAAACUUUGUACUUUCGCGCGGAGACGCGCGCGAAUUUUUGCGAAUGUUUACACAAAUUCAUCUGAUAUUCCUCGAAUAUACGCGAGAUAACUCCAUACAUACAAGUUUAUUUUUCAAAGCAGAAGAUAAUUCGGACCUAGAAGCGGCGAGAGACAGAGAGCGAAAGGAAGAGAGAAGCUAACGGAUCUUUCAUCUUGCUCGAGUCCUGCCGAAUCCUCUUCUCCCUUUUGCGAGGUCGAAGCUCCACCUUGGGAUACGCGCGAGGAUCGAGGGAGCCAGACCAUGCACCGCGGGCGUCACCUUGAAUUUUUUUAGGUAGACUUCCAAAACAGCUGGGUUCAACGAACGGCUGUGAGACGACGCCCCCGUGUGUUGUUUUGACACGGCUCGCCCGGGGAGAGAAAGAGAGAUGCACGCUUCUCCCCGACUGCAUAGCCAUAAAAGCUCAAAGGGCUUAAGCAGACACUCGGCUGGACCUAGCGACGAGCUCCCGAAUUGUAAUUUAUUUAUCAAACAGCUGGAUGUACACGAUUACGAGUACGACUGCUAUUUGACUGCUAUCUCUCGGGCUUGGCUAUGAUACAUCAGAAACAAAGGAAUCGAGGUAUUUAAGCUAAAAGUUCUAGCUUAAAAACGCUCUCUGCUGUCCUACGCGAUAAAUGCACUGUUAAAAAUCGAACAGCAGAAUUCAAUGUAACGUAACGGAAGCCAAGAUACAUUAAAAACAUUUAAUGUAAAUUUAA
Solenopsis invicta (red fire ant) is the source of this 2854-nucleotide long non-coding RNA. RefSeq lists it as uncharacterized. The record is from RefSeq and is a predicted model, not a curated record. The transcript has 3 exons. Lineage: Eukaryota; Metazoa; Arthropoda; Insecta; Hymenoptera; Formicidae.